AAUUUUACUGGGUUUCCAAGACAAAACACAGAUACCUAGAUUAUCUAUGAUAUUAGCUAUUCAUCUCCAAGACAUCGCGAACCAGCAGCUGCGAACUUCGGGAACUUUGUGUUGCAGAUCCAUAUCGUUGUCUCUCAUAUUAUAUCUACUCCAUCACAUUGCGAGAGGACACAGCAGCAGCGCACGCCAAAUAAGACGAUCUGAGAUAUUUAAUCGGGGGUAGAUCUACUUUGAGAGAAGAUCAACAUCAUCUUCGUGAAAUAUCAUUAUCGCACCGGACUUGCAACAUGGAGAGGGCCUAGAAUUUGGAUAAUGAGGAAGAUAGUAAGUUCAGAGAUCAGGAAAUUAUUGAUUUAAACUGCUAGAGCCCUGAGGGUGAUUCCAGUUACUAGUGUAGUGCAGAAAAAGACCUAAAAGUAUUUAUGCUUAUGCAUGGAAUGUUGUUUGAUCAUGAGGAGGGAAUGUAUGAUUUCUACAAGAAAUAUGGUGAGGCAAAUGGAUUUCCUGUGAAGCGAAGAACAUCAAACAAGGACAAAGAUGGCUUGUGCAAAUAUUUGACUUUUACGUGUGCUAGAGCAAGUGUGUUUCUCAUAAAUGGAAUAUCUGAUUUUUUUUCGAUGGUAGCAAUAUGUUAGCCUCUCAUUCAUAUGACAUUGUAAUUUUACUUGUCUUAUCAUUGAUUAGGUUUGUUAAUCAGUCAUGCCAAGAAUCUUAUAAAUCAUAAUUCAAGCCAGAAGAGUGGAUGCAAGGCUCGUUUAAGA
Molecule: long non-coding RNA, 761 nt
Organism: Tripterygium wilfordii
Lineage: Eukaryota; Viridiplantae; Streptophyta; Magnoliopsida; Celastrales; Celastraceae
Exons: 2
Source: RefSeq, a predicted model, not a curated record